This 450-nucleotide ribosomal RNA is filed under the name uncultured organism. RNAcentral describes it as "partial 16S ribosomal RNA". It matches the Rfam family "Bacterial small subunit ribosomal RNA", at positions 331 to 797 of the family's 1533-position model. The record is from RNAcentral.
GUACACUCCUACGGGAGGCAGCAGUGGGGAAUAUUGGACAAUGGGCGCAAGCCUGAUCCAGCCAUGCCGCGUGAGUGAUGAAGGCCCUAGGGUUGUAACGCUCUUUCACCGGUGAAGAUAAUGACGGUAACCGGAGAAGAAGCCCCGGCUAACUUCGUGCCAGCAGCCGCGGUAAUACGAAGGGGGCUAGCGUUGUUCGGAUUUACUGGGCGUAAAGCGCACGUAGGCGGACUAUUAAGUCAGGGGUGAAAUCCCGGGGCUCAACCCCGGAACUGCCUUUGAUACUGGUAGUCUUGAGUUCGAGAGAGGUGAGUGGAAUUCCGAGUGUAGAGGUGAAAUUCGUAGAUAUUCGGAGGAACACCAGUGGCGAAGGCGGCUCACUGGCUCGAUACUGACGCUGAGGUGCGAAAGCGUGGGGAGCAAACAGGAUUAGAAACCCUAGUAGUCCCA